ACGGGGUGCAGCAGGCGCGAAACUUCACACUGGGGGAACCCCGAUGAGGGAAAUCCUAGUGCUAGGACAUUUUGUUCUAGCUUUUCUCAAGCGUAGAUAACUUGAGGAAUAAGGGCUGGGUAAGACGGGUGCCAGCCGCCGCGGUAAUACCUGCAGCCCAAGUGGUGGUCGAUUUUAUUGAGUCUAAAACGUUCGUAGCCGGUUUGGUAAAUCUUUGGGUAAAUCGGGAGGCUCAACUUUCCGACUUCCGAAGAGACUGCCAAACUUGGGACCGGGAGAGGCUAGAGGUACUUCUGGGGUAGGGGUAAAAUCCUGUAAUCUUAGAAGGACCACCGGUGGCGAAGGCGUCUAGCUAGAACGGAUCCGACGGUGAGGGACGAAGCCCUGGGUCGCAAACGGGAUUAGAUACCCCGGUAGUCCAGGGUGUAAACGCUGCCGACUUGGUGUUGGAGGCCCUUCGGGGGCAUUCAGCGCCGGAGAGAAGUUGUUAAGUCGGCUACUUGGGGAGUACGUCCGCAAGGAUGAAACUUAAAGGAAUUGGCGGGGGAGCAC
RNAcentral lists this ribosomal RNA (552 nucleotides) under uncultured archaeon. RNAcentral's name for it is "bacterial SSU rRNA". It matches the Rfam family "Archaeal small subunit ribosomal RNA", at positions 325 to 879 of the family's 1478-position model. The record is from RNAcentral.